Molecule: ribosomal RNA, 468 nt
Filed under: uncultured bacterium
Lineage: Bacteria
Description: partial 16S ribosomal RNA
Rfam family: Bacterial small subunit ribosomal RNA
Source: RNAcentral
GACGAACGCUGGCGGCGUGCUUAACACAUGCAAGUCGAACGGAAAGGCCCUGCUUUUGUGGGGUGCUCGAGUUGCGAACGGGUGAGUAACACGUGAGUAACCUGCCCUUGACUUUGGGAUAACUUCAGGAAACUGGGGCUAAUACCGGAUAGGAGCUCCUGCUGCAUGGUGGGGGUUGGAAAGUUUCGGCGGUUGGGGAUGGACUCGCGGCUUAUCAGCUUGUUGGUGGGGUAGUGGCUUACCAAGGCUUUGACGGGUAGCCGGCCUGAGAGGGUGACCGGCCACAUUGGGACUGAGAUACGGCCCAGACUCCUACGGGAGGCAGCAGUGGGGAAUAUUGCACAAUGGGCGGGAGCCUGAUGCAGCAACGCCGCGUGCGGGAUGACGGCCUUCGGGUUGUAAACCGCUUUCGCCUGUGACGAAGCGUGAGUGACGGUAAUGGGUAAAGAAGCACCGGCUAACUACGUG